Molecule: long non-coding RNA, 760 nt
Organism: Micropterus salmoides (largemouth bass)
Lineage: Eukaryota; Metazoa; Chordata; Actinopteri; Centrarchiformes; Centrarchidae
Exons: 3
Source: RefSeq, a predicted model, not a curated record
AUUAAUCAAAGGUCAUUUUGUAGCUGACGCUAAAUCCAGCGUAAACCCGUUUCCAUGACAACACCGGAAGUCGCUCGUUCGCGACCUUUACGACGAUAAAGUCGUUUCGUAAUGCAGUUAUAAUAUGUGUUUACUUGUUGAAUGUAAUUCUGAGUAAAAGUGUGACUUAAAGCUGUGUUUACAUUGCUCUUGUUAAAUUUAUGAAGAAGAGAAAGGUUUAUCGCCAGUCACAUGACUGUUACCCGGAAGUACUGAGGAAGGCGAACUUUUAAGCUCCCGUCUGUUGUUCUACAGCUGGUCUACAAGGCGAACACGGUGUGUCGGUGCUGCUGCUGUCUGGACUGACUGAUUCUGCAGCCUCCUCUCUGUCUGUGCUCAGACUCUGCUGCCAUCUAGUGGUCUUCUGUCCGUACUGCGUCUCUACUGGUCUGAUGCUGUCCAUCUGCUGCGGCAGGAAGACGGGAAACCGAGCGGCCGUCUCCACGGAGAUGACCCGGCGGGUCGGAGGAAGCGAUGACAUCGCUGCUGAUGUCACCGCUGAGCACGCCUUCUGAGCUGUGAACACAGUGACAGCAGCUGUCUUUAACGUGGACAUGAGAGUUUCUACCAUCUGCUCUUAUGGAGACGCUGCUGGAGAGCUUUGUCUGACACGUUGCUCCAGAAGUUUGCUUUCUUUACUCUUUUUAUUCUCUUCUAUCUCAAAGUGUUUCUGGCUGUGUAGGUUUUUAAGCUUUGGCAAAUAAAAACAAAGUAUCCCAAA